This is a non-coding RNA of Nicotiana tabacum (common tobacco), 587 nucleotides long. The record is from RefSeq and is a predicted model, not a curated record. Lineage: Eukaryota; Viridiplantae; Streptophyta; Magnoliopsida; Solanales; Solanaceae.
AGUUAGGUCUGUAUUGCUACCCAUGUCAAACACAUGUUUUAUGGUAGAUGAUAUAUCAGAAACUGAUUUUGGAUACAGAACUGCCGACGUGAUGAUUGAAUCACUGAAAAAUUUGAAGGGAUAGAAGAAGAAGAAGAUAUUGGGGUGGCAAAAGUUUGGUCACAACAGAGUGCAUCCUAAUUUGAAAGUCAUAAUGGCUGCACCAAGAUUUGCUGUAGUAGGAAGGCGAGCCUUGCGUAACUGGUAAAACUGCUGUCAUGCGAUCAGGAGGUCAUAGGUUGAGGUCAUAGGUUCGAGCCGUGAAAAAUGUCUCUGACAGAAAUAUAGGGUAAAGCUGCGUACAAUCAGGGGCGUAUCUAGGCUUAGGCAUAUGGGUUCACGUGAACCCAUACUGCUCUCCGUAAACUAUGUAUAAUAAUGUUAUAUUUCUUCAAAAUUACUUAAAUAUAUGUGCGUGCACCCAUGCUCAAAGUUUCCUAUGAUGCAAUAAUUAUUGGAUGCACCUCUACAAGUAAAAUUGUGUUCCAAAUCCUACUCUGAAUGGUUUUAUUUUCGAUACAGAGUAUAAAUAUAUAUAAGUAAAAAUU